UAUGUGCGCUGCACCUCUCCUUCCCUGCCUCUUUCUGCCGCCGAGGAGCAGAUAGUGUACAGAGGGCAGGGCAAAAGAGUGAACAGGGCUCGUUUCCUGGACACUGAGGCAGAGAUCACCCUCUUCUCCCAUCACACAGUGCAGCUGCGAUGUGCUGGCAGAGGGAGUCCAGCAGCCACAGGCAGCCUCUAAACACGGCAGGAGCUAGGACCCAGUGACUGCAGCACAGGAGACUGGACCAAUCAGAGACUCUGCUCUCCGAAGUUCAUUUCAUAGUGGGGAAAACUGAAAAGCAUGGCUUCAGCAGGAGGAGGACCUUCAUCCCUAACAGUGGCAGCCAGAGGUGACAGCCUCUGGCUCCCCUCCACAAGUGACAGGGCUUGGCCAGAAAAGAGUACGACAGCAAUGCUUGGAUGAAAGUAAUUUACUAUUUGGCCAAGUGAACAUGCGUACGUCCAAAGAAUGACAAUGGGGCUCAUGGAAGACUCAUGCACAUACCACUGAAGCUACCCUCCCAGAUCUCCUGGGACAAUUGGAAAACUCCCACUAACCUGGGAGGGUAGAUGAAGAUCCUGGUUUCUCAAAUGCCCUGUCACAUUACCAUAAUGCACAAGUGAGAGCCUGGAUGCAACUGGAGGCUAGCGCGAUGACAUCACAACAUGUGAUGUGAGCAAGGCACAAAGUUGACCAUUGCCUUUUCAUGUAUAGCGAAUGGUAGCCUCCCUCACUCAAAAAGACUUGCAAUGGAUUCCCCUCCUUGCUUGGAUUCCUGGAGAAUGAUGGCAAAAUGGGUUAUUAACCAGGUACUCUAGAAAUAUAUUGGUAAAAGUGCAACGAGUCAAAAUGAAUGGUAAAAGCUUUACAAAAGAACAGCUAAAGGUGUGUAGGUAAAAGCCAUGUGAUGACGGAAAAAAGACCGAUCCACAGUAAAGGACAGA
Pseudophryne corroboree (corroboree frog) is the source of this 938-nucleotide long non-coding RNA. RefSeq lists it as uncharacterized. The transcript is spliced from 4 exons. NCBI's taxonomy places the organism in Eukaryota, Metazoa, Chordata, Amphibia, Anura, Myobatrachidae. The record is from RefSeq and is a predicted model, not a curated record.